RNAcentral lists this ribosomal RNA (253 nucleotides) under uncultured bacterium. Its description in RNAcentral is "partial 16S ribosomal RNA". It matches the Rfam family "Bacterial small subunit ribosomal RNA", at positions 524 to 776 of the family's 1533-position model. The record is from RNAcentral.
GACGCACCGUGCAAGCGUUAUUCGGAAUCAUUGGGCUUAAAGAGCGCGUAGGCGGCGCGGUCAGUCGGGUGUGAAAUCUCGGAGCUUAACUCCGAAACUGCAUUCGAUACUGCCGUGCUUGAGGACUGGAGAGGAGACUGGAAUUUACGGUGUAGCGGUGAAAUGCGUAGAUAUCGUAAGGAAGACCAGUGGCGAAGGCGGGUCUCUGGACAGUUCCUGACGCUGAGGCACGAAGGCCAGGGGAGCAAACGGG